UAGGAACAAGCCUUUUCUCUGUGAUUGGGGU
This 31-nucleotide non-coding RNA is filed under the name Homo sapiens (human). Lineage: Eukaryota; Metazoa; Chordata; Mammalia; Primates; Hominidae. The record is from RNAcentral.